Long non-coding RNA from Chloebia gouldiae (Gouldian finch), 2082 nucleotides. Lineage: Eukaryota; Metazoa; Chordata; Aves; Passeriformes; Passeridae. The record is from Ensembl.
CUGGCUGUAGGAGGAGCCACUGUGUCUGGGAGGUUGUGCUCUAGGUGUAGUAAAAUAUCAAAGAUUAAUAGCCUGUCCCACAACAGAUUACUGAGAUCAAUAAAUCUGACAGAUCAGAUCAGUUAUCCCACCACAUCUCAUGGCAAAGCUCUUCUGACCCCACAGGCUAUUCUGGGCUUGGAAUGUAAAUUUUUUUUUUUUUUAAUCAUGGAAGUUUUGACAGAAAGCGAAACCCUUGGCAAAGAAAACUCCAAAGCUGUGCAGUCAGGUUUGGGCAUGGGCUGUCUGUGAUGUCCUGAGGAUUAAUAGAUCAUUUUGUGUUUUUGAGUGGAUUGACUCAGCAGAGCCCAGACUCCCAGGACUGUGGGAAGCCUUCAGGCUUUCUCUAAAGGCAGGUAAAUCUGGGGAGUAAAGGUGAAAAACCAGUGGAUAAAGAGAAAAGAGCUGUUACCAGCUGUGCACAGCAUAAACCCCUGGGGGAAUGUUAAAUUUCUGUUGCCUGAUAAUUAGUCAGUGUGCAAAUAGAUACAUCAUUUCCAUAAAAUACCACUUGUAAACCAACACCAGUUUAGGUCAGGCUGUCUCUCCACUCCUGUUUUGUCAGAACAAGAUCCCAUUCCUUGUCCUUCCUGUGGGAAUUGGAAAAACAGAAACUUCUACAGACACGGAAGAGUUUGAUGUGGAGCCUUUAAAGACACUUAGAUUGAUGUAAAAAUAAAAUACACGGCCAUUAAACGGAAAAAUCAUCAGCUUAUCUUUCUAUAGUUGUAAGUAAGAAUAUGCCUUAAGUAAGUGAGAAACUGUAUUGGGUAAGAGAGUGAAAAUUUGAUAAUGUAGAGGUGUGGUUGUAUGAAAUAAGCCAAGAAUUUAGAAGUUAUAACAGAAGCAGAUGUGUGCCUGUGAGUUAGAAACCCAUUGGAUUAAAGUAUGCACAGUGCAAAACAAGAAAGUAAAACUGGUCUCUGGUUGAAUUUGGAUGUGAGAAAUGAAACUUCACCAUGGCUCUUAUUAAAUGGAGGAAGAAGGAUUUCACAAUGCUCUUUUGGUGCUGUCACAAUCCCAUGUCUUCAUCCAUUUUGGGUCCCCUGGGAGGAAGGUGGAGGCAGCAAUUACCACUGUCUUGUCAUUAAGGACACGUGUAGGGCAAACCAGAAAUCACAGUGUCUUGUGUCAAAAAAAAAAAAAAAAGGAAAAAAAAGUAACAAAAAUUGUAUCAGAACAUUUCAUUUGGGCACAGUCCAUGGACGUAUUUUGGGUUUUCAUCUCAUGACAUUUCCAGCACUAAACUUUAAGUGAAGAUGCUCAAAAAUGUAAAAGCUUGGCUCUUCCCAAGUUUGUUUUUUUGGGUUUUAUGUCUAUAUAUACAUACAUAUACAUAUAAAUAGAUAUAUACAUACAUAUAUGUAUAUAUAUGUGUGUGUGUGGUCUGGUUUGUCCUAAAACUGGGGUGAUGUUCUUGAGGUGGGGGAUGAUUUCAGUAUGUGAUGGAGUCCUCCACACGUGUCUCUGUUUAUGACCCACUCCUAUGAAAAAGAAAAACUGACUUCUCAUGACGUGACUCAAAGCCUGUCACAUGUGGAUGAAGCUGACAAAACGUGUCUCCAGAGCCUACUUAUUUCCAGAGUUCAUCCUGCUUCCUUGUGCACUCCACAAAAGCAAAAAUGCUCCAUCAGAAGACCUCUUCUCCCCAGCCACACAGGUUAGCAAUAUCCAGAUAAAUAACAUUUUUUCCCAGAGCAAGGAAACAGCUGGGUUAUCAACUGCCUCGUCCUCGCACUGCACACCCCAGAGCAGCCUGCAGCUGAGAGAUGAACACUUCUCUUUUCUGAGCCCUGCUGUUGGCAGGUGCUGUCCCAAGGGACAACUCCCUAAAUUUCGCUUUCCUCGAAGCCCUCCUCGGUGGUUUCUCCGGUGGUGACCUCUCCCUCGCUGCUGUCGGACAUGCUCAUCUGUGCAGGGCCUGCCUUGGCCUCUGUCCUCUGCCUCCCCAGCACCUUCUGCAGCUCCCAGGGCUUGCCCACCUCCAGGCAGAAGUGGUGCCUGCUGCUGAGCUGCUGUUUUUUCCGUUUCUGUGAGCACUUC